Molecule: ribosomal RNA, 253 nt
Filed under: uncultured bacterium
Lineage: Bacteria
Description: partial 16S ribosomal RNA
Rfam family: Bacterial small subunit ribosomal RNA
Source: RNAcentral
UACGUAGGGGGCAAGCGUUGUCCGGAUUUACUGGGCGUAAAGAGCGUGUAGGCGGCCAAGCAGGUCCGUUGUGAAAACUGGAGGCUUAACCUCCAGACGUCGACGGAAACCGCGUGGUUAGAGUCCGGAAGAGGAGAGUGGAAUUCCUGGUGUAGCGGUGAAAUGCGCAGAUAUCAGGAAGAACACCAAUGGCGAAGGCAGCUCUCUGGGACGGUACUGACGCUGAGACGCGAAAGCGUGGGGAGCGAACAGG